Molecule: long non-coding RNA, 1412 nt
Organism: Passer domesticus (house sparrow)
Lineage: Eukaryota; Metazoa; Chordata; Aves; Passeriformes; Passeridae
Exons: 3
Source: RefSeq, a predicted model, not a curated record
GAUAAAUCAAAGUUUCCCUGUAAAGCCAGGAGACAAACACUCAUUUCUCAGUCUGUAACACUGCUGUCUGCUGUGAUGGUAACAUCUCACUUUUCUAAGUGGCAAGUUAUUUUGAGAGUUGAAGAGUAACCAAUGUCAAGGUUGCAGAGAAAGAUUCAGCUGAGCUUUUUUUUUGGUCACUGAGUGUGCCUUCAUUUGUCCUCUGUGGAAUCUCGCAGUUCUCCUAUCCCUCAAGCAGUCCUGGAGCUGAAGCACUCUAUCAUCCAUGAGUUGCCCAAAAGGAUUGGUUUCCAGUGCCUGCAGAUGAUCACGAGGCAGUUGAUGGACAUGACUUGUUCAACAAGGGCAUCAAGCUGGCAGGGAUCCUCCAGAAAGUGUGAAAAGUCUCUGUGGAAGCAUGGAUGGUUCAUACUUUAUCACUGCCAAAGACAUGCUGAAAGUUCAGGUGCCCUUUAUGUCCUGGAAGGCUGCUAUAAGAUCUCCCUAGAGCAUUCUUUUGCCCAAGCUGAACAACCCCAGCUCUCUCUCUUCGACUGUCUUCUUGUGCAUGCCGAAUAGGCCUGGUGUAUUGACACUCAGCAGUGAAGAAGCAUAAUUGAGAUCCAGAUCCUAAAGGACCCACAUCUGCCAGGAAUACCUCUGUGACUUGACACAGGCUGGUGGUGAUGGAAGCCCAGGCAUCAGAUGCUUCUUAUAAGUCCUUUCAUUGCUUUGAAGUGUUUUUGCAAUGUAAUGAUAGGAAGAAAAAUCAGUUAGGCACAGGGAAAUACUUUUAGGCAGGGUAUACAAUACUGUAAAAUAUUCAAUGAGUUCUGAAGGCCUGAAAAGUCCUAUUUUGGAUAUACUUUGUAUAACCAGAUUGUACUUGAAGAAUUACUAAAACAUCAUUUCCCCCCCUUUAUUUGCUUCAGGAGAUCAAAGUUAUAACUUUUUAGUAAUACCUUCAUUUGAUCAUAGUUGGAAGACUAAAAACUUCAUUUAUUUUCUAGUUAAAAUAAUCAGAAGAGUUUAUAUAUUCUCCUUGAAAGCAAGCUGUUGUAGUAGUUGCUUAAUGAAUUAACAAUGCUCACCAUCUUGGCUUCUUCUGGUAGGGAGAAAGCAGCUCAAGUUCUUCCCUAGGAAAAUAAUCCCAUUUCACUACAUGUGUCCCUGUUUUGUACUGCAGUGCAGUGGCUCAGAGGCAAAACUGUUGCAUUCCUUGAAAAUUAAUGUUCAUAGAAGUUGUACAUUGUGACAUCUCAGCACAAUCUAGUUAAAUUUUUACAGUUCAGGCAACUUAUAUAUAUUGCUUGGUCUUCUAUGUCCUUUACAGACACUCAUAUGUAGUGUUUGCUCUUUACUCUUUUCAUUAUAAAAUUAUGAGAUUGUAAAACCAGCAUUCAGAAACUUAAUAAAAAUAAGAGCCAAAUAAA